Molecule: transfer RNA, 66 nt
Filed under: Bacteroides fragilis str. B1 (UDC16-1)
Lineage: Bacteria; Pseudomonadati; Bacteroidota; Bacteroidia; Bacteroidales; Bacteroidaceae
Also listed under: 1 other name
Description: partial tRNA-Phe
Rfam family: tRNA
About the family: Transfer RNA (tRNA) molecules are approximately 80 nucleotides in length.
Source: RNAcentral
UAGCUCAGUUGGUAGAGCAAAGGACUGAAAAUCCUUGUGUCCCCGGUUCGAUUCCUGGUGGCACCA